RNAcentral lists this ribosomal RNA (251 nucleotides) under uncultured bacterium. RNAcentral describes it as "partial 16S ribosomal RNA". It matches the Rfam family "Bacterial small subunit ribosomal RNA", at positions 524 to 775 of the family's 1533-position model. The record is from RNAcentral.
UACGUAGGUCCCGAGCGUUGUCCGGAUUUAUUGGGCGUAAAGCGAGCGCAGGUGGUUUAUUAAGUCUGGUGUAAAAGGCAGUGGCUCAACCAUUGUAUGCAUUGGAAACUGGUAGACUUGAGUGCAGGAGAGGAGAGUGGAAUUCCAUGUGUAGCGGUGAAAUGCGUAGAUAUAUGGAGGAACACCGGUGGCGAAAGCGGCUCUCUGGCCUGUAACUGACACUGAGGCUCGAAAGCGUGGGGAGCAAACAG